This 166-nucleotide ribosomal RNA is filed under the name Aphanocalyx microphyllus subsp. microphyllus. RNAcentral's name for it is "5.8S ribosomal RNA". It matches the Rfam family "5.8S ribosomal RNA". From Rfam's summary of the family: 5.8S ribosomal RNA (5.8S rRNA) is a component of the large subunit of the eukaryotic ribosome. It is transcribed by RNA polymerase I as part of the 45S precursor that also contains 18S and 28S rRNA. Lineage: Eukaryota; Viridiplantae; Streptophyta; Magnoliopsida; Fabales; Fabaceae. The record is from RNAcentral.
AAUGACUCUUAGCAACUAAUCUCUCGACUGUCGCAUCUAUGAAGAACAUAUCAAAAUGUGAUACUUGGUGUGAACUGUAGAAUCCCAUGAACCAUCGAGUCUUUGAACGUAAGUUGUGCUCGAAGCCAUUAGGCUGAGGGCUUAUCUGGCUGGGUGUCACGCAAUG